This is a small nuclear RNA of Pelobates fuscus (common spadefoot toad), 109 nucleotides long. Lineage: Eukaryota; Metazoa; Chordata; Amphibia; Anura; Pelobatidae. The record is from RefSeq and is a predicted model, not a curated record.
GUGCUCGCUUCGGCAGGACAUAUACUAAAAUUGUAACAAUACAGAGAAGAUUAGCAUGGGCCCUGCGCAAGGAUUUUAAAUUCAAAUUCGUGAAGCUUUCCAUAUUUAA